UCAGUGCCCCGCGCCUCGCCUGCUCGGCCCCAUGGGCAGCAUCUCCAUGAGCGACGACACCAGCGCCGUCGCCGGGCUCGGCGGCACGGGCCUCGCGGCGUCGGCGCACCGCACGAAGCUCGCGGCGAGGAUCGCGACGAGGACGGCGACGACGACGAACAAGUCGAGGGGGCGGCGAGCUUCCAUGGCCUCCGAAGGAGAAACGAAGGCGCCCUUGGAUGGAUCUCCUCUGAAUUCCAAGGAGCACAACUGCACAAGCACACAGUAUACUUGUCUGAAUCUCUGGUCUUUCUUUUCUUCGGUGUGAUGCUAGGCUAG
Molecule: ribosomal RNA, 318 nt
Filed under: Triticum aestivum (bread wheat)
Lineage: Eukaryota; Viridiplantae; Streptophyta; Magnoliopsida; Poales; Poaceae
Description: partial small subunit ribosomal RNA
Source: RNAcentral